RNAcentral lists this ribosomal RNA (925 nucleotides) under uncultured Bacteroidota bacterium. RNAcentral's name for it is "bacterial SSU rRNA". It matches the Rfam family "Bacterial small subunit ribosomal RNA", at positions 1 to 917 of the family's 1533-position model. The record is from RNAcentral. Lineage: Bacteria; Pseudomonadati; Bacteroidota.
UGGAUCCAGACUUUGUCAUGGCUCAGGAUGAACGCUAGCUACAGGCUUAACACAUGCAAGUCGAGGGGAAACGAUAUUGGAAGCUUGCUUCCGAUAGGCGUCGACCGGCGCACGGGUGAGUAACGCGUAUCCAACCUGCCCACCACUUGGGGAUAACCUUGCGAAAGUAAGACUAAUACCCAAUGAUAGCUCUAGAAGGCAUCUGAAAGAGAUUAAAGACUUAUCGGUGAUGGAUGGGGAUGCGUCUGAUUAGCUUGUUGGCGGGGUAACGGCCCACCAAGGCAACGAUCAGUAGGGGUUCUGAGAGGAAGGUCCCCCACAUUGGAACUGAGACACGGUCCAAACUCCUACGGGAGGCAGCAGUGAGGAAUAUUGGUCAAUGGACGAGAGUCUGAACCAGCCAAGUAGCGUGCAGGAUGACGGCCCUAUGGGUUGUAAACUGCUUUUAUAAGGGAAUAAAGUGAGUCUCGUGAGACUUUUUGCAUGUACCUUAUGAAUAAGGACCGGCUAAUUCCGUGCCAGCAGCCGCGGUAAUACGGAAGGUCCGGGCGUUAUCCGGAUUUAUUGGGUUUAAAGGGAGCGUAGGCCGGAGAUUAAGCGUGUUGUGAAAUGUAGACGCUCAACGUCUGCACUGCAGCGCGAACUGGUUUCCUUGAGUACGCACAAAGUGGGCGGAAUUCGUGGUGUAGCGGUGAAAUGCUUAGAUAUCACGAAGAACUCCGAUUGCGAAGGCAGCCCACUGGAGCGCAACUGACGCUGAAGCUCGAAAGUGCGGGUAUCGAACAGGAUUAGAUACCCUGGUAGUCCGCACGGUAAACGAUGGAUGCCCGCUGUUGGUCUGAAUAGGUCAGCGGCCAAGCGAAAGCAUUAAGCAUCCCACCUGGGGAGUACGCCGGCAACGGUGCAACUCAAAGGAAUUGACGGA